Molecule: ribosomal RNA, 253 nt
Filed under: uncultured bacterium
Lineage: Bacteria
Description: partial 16S ribosomal RNA
Rfam family: Bacterial small subunit ribosomal RNA
Source: RNAcentral
UACAGAGGGUGCAAGCGUUAAUCGGAAUUACUGGGCGUAAAGGGCGCGUAGGUGGUUGAAUAAGUCAGAUGUGAAAUCCCUGGGCUUAACCUAGGAAUUGCAUGUGAUACUGGUCGGCUAGAGUACAGAAGAGGGAAGUGGAAUUUCCGGUGUAGCGGUGAAAUGCGUAGAUAUCGGAAGGAACAUCAGUGGCGAAGGCGACUUCCUGGUCUGUUACUGACACUGAGGCGCGAAAGCGUGGGGAGCAAACAGG